CCAUGUUGGACAAUGGACAUCCCUCCAGGUGUCUCGUGCGGUUUAGUCACAAUAUAUGCGUUGGGAAUGGAAAUGGAAGGUUGAAUUUUAGAUACAGACUGUUCGGAAAUCACGAAAUCGGUUAAAAGAAAGAUAAUCUCAGCUAGAAACCAAAAGAAGAGAAGGAAUACGGGUUUAUCAGAUUGCCAACUGAAAUAUUUCAUAUAAAUUAUUAUUAUCCUAAAUUUACUUGAUGCUUUUCCAAAUUCCGUUCCAAUUUUCAAUACAAUAAGACAUUUCCUAUCUGUUCUUAUACAUGCGGUUGAAGGCAUUCAUUUUGUGGAUUUUCAAUGGGGUGCCUCUAGUAGUAGUUAGCUUAGGUGAGGAUAACUUAAUAGACCCAGAUAAAUAUGUAAAUAUAAAUAAUACCAACAAAUUAGUACAGCAACAAAUGGAAACCAGAACUAAGUCCUUGGAUGCAUCGGUCAUCUGUUCACCUGUCGGGUGUUUCAUGCUAUUGGAAGCAGCUUUUUAUUGAUGUUUAUAUGAAAAAGAGGAGAAAACAAGACAUCUAAAACUAUUAAUGGAAACAACCAAAGGACAAACUACAUUCAAGUCGUAGUAAUUCAUUUAAGCGUAAUAUUUAUAUCAAAUCUAUGAUGAUGAUGUAAUUUUAUCUCAGUAACUGGAGUGCUGUUCCAUGUUAUGUAUUAAACGCAUGUAACUAUAUAACCUUACAAACAGAACAGAACCUAAACAAUUUUAUGAAACCGUCACAUCAUCUGACCUCAUGUCGGAGCGUCGUGGUCAGCAACGAAGCGUCGAGAGCGGACUAUCUGCUUCCACCGGUUUCUGUCCAGCGCUUCUCUUAUGACCGUGCACAGUUUUGAGGAUGAUGAGUCUCACUUGACCGGUCCAUCCGGUUGGUGAACGGCCACGUGGUCUUUUGUCUUCUGUGUUACCGACCACAAUCAGUCUCGGUUCCCCGUUGAGAUGCGAUUAUAUUUUUAAGAAUACUUUUUUGUUGCUCUUUGCACGAUCUAAAAUAAGGUCUUAUAGAUUUUUCACGUAUCGUUCAUCGUUAUCGAGAUUUAUAAUUUGGGGAGAAGAAAUUGUUUUUAGCUCGAAACUUCUAGAGCGUGUUCAGACCUACAAAUUCGUUUUUAUGACUGUAAUAUCGCAUCACUUUCUUCAUAUGGAAUUUCAACAAAAAUAACGUUCAUAAAAUACGUCAUACUAAAAUCAGCUUUUUUUGAGCCCCCCUCUCCCUAUCGCAUGUCAAGCUGUGUCGCACCUUUUUUUUAUUUUCGCGAAAAAUUACGUCCUCUAGCGCGCCGCAAAGUCAGUAAGACCCUACCCGGUUUCGAUUUAGCCGCUCGCACGGUUGUAUCCACACGUAAAAAUGGAUGAAUGGUUUUUCAGGGAAUUAUUGCUAAUACAAAAUAAAUUAAUAAACCAGCCAAAUUAUUAAUCAAACACAUGAAAUUUAUUAAUCAAAUAAUUGUUAUGCAGCAAAAAUAAUACAUAAUUACACAUGGUCAUUUUUUUCACACUUUUUCGUCGUUUUGAUGGUCCUGGCUGUUGAAGUUCCUCUUCGGUACACUCUUCGAGUCGUGAAAAUUCUCAAUCGAAGGAAAUGAUGAUGUGACGGCCGAAAAAUCGUAAUCUUCAUCAUCGUGAUCGUCGUUGAAUAAGAUCUCGACUUUGGCGACAUUGUCGCAUGUCUGUCCACUACAGUGCAGGCCAAUAACCGAGCAACUUAUUCCUGCAGCCCCACACUUUCCUUUACAUUUGCACGAAAUGAGUUUCAAAAGUUCAGGUGGAGCGGGUGCGGCUGUGUGCAAAUUGGUUCAAGCCCGUAAUUCGUCUGUCGCCAACCCCAUUCCUGUAUUAUAUUCCAUAUAUAUGUAUAAAAUAAGGUCCCGCACCACAAGAGUCGGGGGGGAUAUUGGGAAAUUUAUAUAAUAAAAAAAAAACCCCAUACCUGAGGAUCUUUAAAAAUUCCGAGCCACGUUUGUAAAUAUGUCCGGAAAACGUGUUGGCGGACUGCGCUUUCCGUUGGUGGGAGCAGUGAAAGAUUAUUCAUCUUAUUUGUUGUCAUUGAUUUUACAAGGUGUUGGAAUCAAAAAAUCCCUCGUUGUGUCCUCUUUCCGACCACCGUACAGAGCGAUAACGAAGAGCUUUCCUGCGCAAGCUCAGUAUUUUUUCACUCAGAGCUCGCAUAUCUUGCAGGUAUAAAUGAGCAGACUUCGCAUACAGGAAGUGGCCGCUGGCAUGAAAGAAAGGAAGCAUUUUUUGUAUUUGUCUUUAAUCAGAUGGUAAUUUCUAGGCAUAUCAGUUGUUCUCUGAUAUUUAAUCUUAUUCUCCAGGGGUAAGAGUGGGGUUCUGAACUCAUUCAACUGACCUUUAAGAUCUCACCAUACGGAUAUCGCAUCGCUUUCUUCAUAUGGAAUUUCAACAAGUGGCCGUUCAUAAAAUACGUCACACUAAAAUCAGCUUUUUUUGAGCCCCCCCCCCCCCCCAUCGCACGUCACGCUGUGUCGCACUUUCUGUGACCCCCCCUAAAAAUAUUUGGUCACAAAAACUAAGACCCCCCCUGCUGAGUAUGAUAAAUUCUAAAAAAUAAAAUUGAAAAUAAAAAAGAUUUAUUUAGUUAUAAUAAAAUUAAAAUAAAUUAAUAAAUAUCUUUCAUAACGAACAUAUAAAUAAUAAAUAAUAUUUCUAUUAUUCCAAGGAUUUUCUAAAUGGGCCGAAAUAUCUACAAUCGGUAUUGCACCAUCUUCUUCUUCAUCAAAACUACCGUCCACUUCAUCGACAUCUAACCAUUCUGCAUCUUCCGUACUAUCGUUUUCAUCUCCUAUUAUGCAUAACAGCUCUCGAGCUCGCCGAUCUGCGAUACGAGUUGGUUGUACGCGCUGAACUACUUCAACCUUUCUUUGAUUUGAUUUGAAUGAAAAUAAUUUAAAGAUUCAAUAUUAUUUUGAAUAUUCACUUGAAAUUGCUUGUCAUCACUUUUGUACUCUUGCUUGAGAUCGUUCCAAAUAUUAUUGACAUUUCUUGUACGAUCUUGGAUUUUAUAUCCGGAUAACACUUUUUAUAAGUGUUAAAUAAUUUUUGAUCGAGUUCACCUCUUAUCGAUGUCAUUGUUUUCUUAUAUGUAUCUCAACUAUUAAAAUCAGAAUUUCGGCAAUAAAGAGUAUAAAGUAAUUAACUGAAGAGUAUUAUAUUAAGAAGAUGAAAAAACCGUCUGUAUUAUUUCACUGUUAAAUGGCGAAUGAAAGAAUAAAAUAAUAAUAAAUACAUGAGAAACAGUAUUUUCAUAUGUUACUGAAUCGAGAACGCAUUGUACGUGGAAACGUUACUCUCUCAAGUAUUGGAAAAACAAAGAAACCAGUUGUGACGGAUUGCAACGCCGCUAGAGUCGCGCCACAGAGCUAGCGCUCAUGUGAUAAAAUAAUAAACGGCGUACGUCUAUUGAUCGUUUGGGUUUGAUCUCUCUUCAUCUUUGUGUUCCUGUCUCCGACCUUAUUCCCUCCGGUUGAUGGAAUACAAGAGAUACAUACCAGAUAACUGAGAUCGAGAGUAUGAUUUCUUUUGUUGUAAGAGGUGAAAUAAGAAUGCCUUCCAGAAGUAACAUUGUCGGGAUAUUAAGUCACUAGAAAAUGUAGUGAAGGUUGCAGCUCGGAAAAUGCACUCCUUGUUAAAGAGUAAGUAAUUCUUGAACGCAUCCCCUAAGAGUCUCGAUAGUCUUUUAACCUGACUUACUUCGGAAUGCUUCGUCAUAUUCAGUCUCAAGAGUAGACCAAUUUCUGUCAAUCAAAAUUCAAAAUUCAAAAAUCAUUUAAUCACAUGGGUAACACAUUGUACACUUAUGACUUGUCAGUAAAGAAAAACAUAUUAAUGCUCCUAAUUUUCGAUCGAUCGAUCGAUUAUUAAAUAAGCUAGGUUUUCAAGAACCGCUUUUGGAAUUUCAUGACAUCUGGAGAGAAUGAAGUCAUAUAACUGCCUGCUCUUUUCAAUUAAACCAAAAAGCAGAUAAUCGAAACUACAGCUUCUGAACUCUGACAUAAGAUUGCUGCUGAGUCUCUCAGUGAUCUCUUCUGUUUUGGACUUUCCAUAUGACUCUAAAAUAUGAUGAACAUCUGUAUCGUAUGACCUUGAGAAAGCUAUUUUUCUUCCAACACUGACAUCUCUUAAAUGCAAAUCCUUAUACUCUGAGUCAUGUCGAGCCGGUUGAGUGAUGGCGACUUCAGAUCUAAUAUCAACCGAGACCGAUAAUCUGGUUGGUUUCUGUCUAAUGAUAUUGGUUUAUUCACAAUGAGCUAGGUGCAAUCCGGGCAAUUGGGGGGUAUAGCAUAAGUAUCGGACACUCUGUAGCCCUGCCAAGCUAAUUCUGAUAUGUAAUUUUGUAUGAAUAAGAAAAUUUCUUGCAAGAAAA
Molecule: long non-coding RNA, 4417 nt
Organism: Pieris napi
Lineage: Eukaryota; Metazoa; Arthropoda; Insecta; Lepidoptera; Pieridae
Exons: 4
Source: RefSeq, a predicted model, not a curated record